RNAcentral lists this ribosomal RNA (465 nucleotides) under uncultured bacterium. RNAcentral's name for it is "partial 16S ribosomal RNA". It matches the Rfam family "Bacterial small subunit ribosomal RNA", at positions 28 to 507 of the family's 1533-position model. The record is from RNAcentral.
GAUGAACGCUGGCGGCGUGCUUAACACAUGCAAGUCGAACGGAAAGGCUCCUGCUUGCCGGGGUACUCGAGUGGCGAACGGGUGAGUAACACGUGGGUGAUCUGCCCUGCACUUCGGGAUAAGCCUGGGAAACUGGGUCUAAUACCGGAUAGGACCACAUUUUGGAUGGUGUGGUGGAAAGUUUUUCGGUGUGGGAUGAGCUCGCGGCCUAUCAGCUUGUUGGUGGGGUAAUGGCCUACCAAGGCGUCGACGGGUAGCCGGCCUGAGAGGGUGUACGGCCACAUUGGGACUGAGAUACGGCCCAGACUCCUACGGGAGGCAGCAGUGGGGAAUAUUGCACAAUGGGCGCAAGCCUGAUGCAGCGACGCCGCGUGGGGGAUGACGGCCUUCGGGUUGCAAACUCCUUUCGCUAGGGACGAAGCGCAAGUGACGGUACCUGGAGAAGAAGCACCGGCUAACUACGUG